GGCAGUGGGAUGUGGGCAGGGGUUUUGUCUCCUGCAAUGAGGGGCGGUCUCAAGACCGGGAGAAGGCCCUGCGUCUUGCAAGCCUGGCUGGAUGCGGCGCGCCUCUGAAACCCAGAACAGCCAAGCAGUUGAGCGAGGAUGGCCUGGCUUUGCACCACGGGCUUAUUUGUGCACUAAUCAUCAUAGCUACCGGAUUUUGAGUCCUUAAAAUCUGCCCAGUGGCUGUGCUCAAGGCUUUCCACCGCAGCAGUGUGGAGUAGGCGGUCAGCCCAUUCUACAGAUGGAAAAACUGAGGGCCCGAGAGGUGCAGUGACUCCCUCAGGGUCACACGGUUGAUGGAGACAGCACUGCUCCCUCUUCCCAGCCAGGGCCUGUGCGAGGGCUGCCACCACCAGGUCAGGGCCACCGAGGGCCGCAAGUCCAGGCUCCUGUGCCUUCUAGCCCUAAGGAGACAAGACUGCGGU
Long non-coding RNA from Canis lupus familiaris (dog), 464 nucleotides. RefSeq lists it as uncharacterized. The record is from RefSeq and is a predicted model, not a curated record. The transcript is spliced from 3 exons. Lineage: Eukaryota; Metazoa; Chordata; Mammalia; Carnivora; Canidae.